RNAcentral lists this transfer RNA (87 nucleotides) under Pseudomonas cavernicola. RNAcentral's name for it is "Pseudomonas sp. K1S02-6 tRNA-Leu". It matches the Rfam family "tRNA". From Rfam's summary of the family: Transfer RNA (tRNA) molecules are approximately 80 nucleotides in length. Their secondary structure includes four short double-helical elements and three loops (D, anti-codon, and T loops). The record is from RNAcentral. RNAcentral also lists the same sequence under 1 other name. Lineage: Bacteria; Pseudomonadati; Pseudomonadota; Gammaproteobacteria; Pseudomonadales; Pseudomonadaceae.
GCCCGGAUGGCGAAAUUGGUAGACGCAAGGGACUUAAAAUCCCUCGUUCGUAAGGACGUGCCGGUUCGACCCCGGCUCCGGGCACCA